UGCGUAGGCGGACUAAUAAGUCAGUGGUGAAAUCUUUCGGCUCAACCGAGAAACUGCCAUUGAUACUGUUAGUCUUGAGUUCGGUUGAGGUAGGCGGAAUGUGUAAUGUAGCGGUGAAAUGCUUAGAUAUUACAUAGAACACCAAUUGCGUAGGCAGCUUACUAGACCGACACUGACGCUGAGGCACGAAAGCGUGGGGAGCGAACAGGAUUAGAUACCCUGGUAGUCC
This 229-nucleotide ribosomal RNA is filed under the name uncultured bacterium. RNAcentral's name for it is "partial 16S ribosomal RNA". It matches the Rfam family "Bacterial small subunit ribosomal RNA", at positions 568 to 796 of the family's 1533-position model. The record is from RNAcentral.